GCAAGUCUGGUGCCAGCAGCCGCGGUAAUUCCAGCUCCAAUAGCGUAUAUUAAAGUUGUUGCAGUUAAAAAGCUCGUAGUUGAACUUUGGGCCUGGGCGGACGGUCUACCUAUGGUAAGCACUGUUGCGGCCGGGUCUUUCCUUCUGGCUAGCCCUCGGGCGAACCAGGACGAUUACUUUGAGGAAAUUAGAGUGUUCAAAGCAGGCCUUUGCUCGGAUAUAUUAGCAUGGAAUAAUAGAAUAGGACGCAUGGUUCUAUUUUGUUGGUUUCUAGGACCAUCGUAAUGAUUAAUAGGGACGGUCGGGGGCAUCAGUAUUCAGUCGUCAGAGGUGAAAUUCUUGGAUUGACUGAAGACUAACUACUGCGAAAGCAUUUGCCAAA
Molecule: ribosomal RNA, 382 nt
Filed under: uncultured fungus
Lineage: Eukaryota; Fungi
Description: SSU rRNA
Rfam family: Eukaryotic small subunit ribosomal RNA
Source: RNAcentral